Agelaius phoeniceus (red-winged blackbird) is the source of this 426-nucleotide non-coding RNA. The record is from RefSeq and is a predicted model, not a curated record. NCBI's taxonomy places the organism in Eukaryota, Metazoa, Chordata, Aves, Passeriformes, Icteridae.
AUUGUCGAUAAAUGCAGUAAACAACAGGCUGCUUUCUCUCAGAAGAAGUUAUAUGAAGUUGUCAUCCAUUUGACGACCUGCAGUAGUGGAAAUCUGAACUGUAGUUUGGUUUUUUCACCCUCAUGGCAGAGUAAGAAGGAAUGAGAGCUCCUUCCCUAGGCCCUGUAUCUCCUCCAAGCUCACAGUCUGGCUCUGUGCGUAGGAAAAUAUGUGAAUGAUGUAACUCUGUCUCCUCAGCUUCCAAAGCAGAAGAAUUGAAUCAACUGAGAUGAAGAAAAAUAAAAGAAAAAAAAAAAGUGUGUUUGCAGGGGAGACUUUGCAGCCAGAAGGAAGCUGGGUGCACAGCCCUGCCUAUGAAUGGGGAUUACUUCUGCUUCUUAAAAGUUUUCUAGGUGUCAGACAGUCCUGGAACCAAGGACCUCCGAG